This 1234-nucleotide long non-coding RNA is filed under the name Pogona vitticeps (central bearded dragon). RNAcentral's name for it is "lncRNA (ENSPVIG00000018997.1)". Lineage: Eukaryota; Metazoa; Chordata; Lepidosauria; Squamata; Agamidae. The record is from RNAcentral.
UACCACCUUUUCCCUAAAGGAACCGUAGUCCUCUUUUUUAAAUAUACCAAAUUGGAUUCACUAGCAGCCUAGCAGCUGCCUGGCAUUGACUUUUAGGAGCCCCUGGGUCAUGCCCCGGGGUUUGGAGGCAGACAACACAUGGGGUGGGGGAUGGGGAGCUGAAAGAUGAGCUUCAGAUCAUAGGUUCAGGAGGAGAUCGGGGCAUCCCUCUUCCUGAAUGUGGCAGCUUGAGACUGGCAGCGCUGGUCCUUUAAUCCCUCUCGCAGUGGCUCAAGGGCUGUCUGUGCUGGUAGCAGUUGCUUGAUGACUCUCUGGGCUCCACCUCCAUGGGACUGCUGUAAAGAGAUACACCAGCCAGCCAGCCAGCCAGCCAGCUAGUCACUUGGGAGGUUCUUGAUUUUUAUGACAACGCCCUUGCUUUUUCUUCCUCCUUCCCUUGCUUUAUACCUUUGUUCCUGUUUGGGACUGUGGCUGUUUAUGGCUCAUCUCCUUUCCAUUUAUCACAUCUGAUCAGCCAGAAGAAUGUUCUUUGCAAGGGGAAAGCUGUACUUGAGGUAGGCAGAUCUGGAGGGGAGGGACUUUGUCCUCAGUCUCUUCUUCCUUCUUGCCCACCAGUGAAGAGCAGCGCCCUCGGAGCAUGGAAGAAGGGGGAAGGAUGUCAAGAUGGUUCCUAGAAGCAGGCAAAUGAUGAUGGGUAAGAAUCUUCCCUCUUGGGCUACACUAGCAUAAUAAGCUCAUUUAUGCUUUUUUGAGGGUUACACUUUCUUCAGCAUAAUCUCAUAGAUGCCAUUUACAUGUGUACAGAUCCAUCCUUGUACUAAGGUACCAUAACGUUUUGUUGUGAUACUUGCCUGUUGGACACCUAGCCCAUACCAGAUGAAAGAGCCCAACUGCGUCUCGGAAUGUGUUUUUAAUUGAUAGCCAGUACCUGCAGUGCAUCCAGGGGACACGUAUACUCUCCAAUCAGCCUGCCUCAAAUGUGGAAUUUCAAUGGGAUGACACAAUGUUGUCUCCCUUUUACUGCUCUCCUGUGUUUUUUUCAUCCACUUUUUUUAACCACAAGAUGGAAUAGUUGCAGAGUGUAUUGAUUGGUAGAACUAUGAGCUGUCUAAAAGCACUCCAGGUUCUUGGAAAAAGAUGCCAUAUAACAGCCUUCACAAACCUGGUGCCUUCUAGGUAGGUUGGAUUUUAACCUCCAUAGCCAGGCCAACCUCCUUGCAAUCCAGGCCACCAA